UAAUAUUCUGGCGUAUUAUCAGUUGUUUAAUUUGUGAAGGUAAAUAUAAGAACCGUAUGUUUGGUUUAUAAUUGAAAUGGAAUUGGAUUGUAUUUUAUAAUUGAAAUGGAAUUUGAUUGUAUUGGCAUGGGUAAUGAAACAACGAAUUAUUCAAAAUAUUUGAUGUAUUAUUAUUGGAACAGAAAUCAGAAUGAAUAUUUAGAAUUUUGAAAGAAAAUUUUGGUUAAGAAAGAGAAGAAUGAUGAAGAGAGAGGAUGCGAGGUGUUUGGCAGAGAAGGCUUUAAGUUGUUUACUUUAGAAUAGGCUAAUUUUGAAUUCAAAACAUGAAUUUGACUAUUUAUAUUUCAGAGUGGAUAAGAAAUCAGAAUUAGAUUUCUCUAAAACAAAUAACAACUAUCGAAAAUUAGAGCUCGAUUUUUAUAGAAUAAACAACAACUAUCGAAAUCAAUUCCAUAGAUAAAAUCAGUUAUAAUUAAAUCUCAUUUUUUUUUACUUGGAUUUAAAAUAUUUUAAAGUCAUCAAAAGUGGAAAGCUUAUCUAAAAUGUUAUAUUUGGUUUUAACAUUAAUUUUUGAAUUUAAAGUUAAAUUUUAACUUAAAUUUGAAUUGAAUUCAUGAAUUGACAUCAUGAAUUUAAUUUCAUAUUCUCAACUUUAUUUGUAAAUUUAAACUCAAAUUUAUAAAUUUAUAUUUUAAAUUAAAUUUUAUUUAAAUCUGAAUUCUAGUUUUAAAAUUUAAACAAUUUAAUUACACUUUACUACUAUAUUGUACUAUUUUAUUUUUUCAAAAACACCAUUACAUUAUUAUAUUUAUCAAUCUCUACAUUGUAUUAUAAUUUUUUUCUAUCUUGUAACUACUUUCUUUUCUAAUAAAUAUCACUAAAUUAUUUUUUUUUCUCAGGAAUCUCUGCAUUAUUGUUAACAAAUCUAUUAUCUUAGAUCAAAUCUAAUAACUUGAUUAAGAGGCACACUUAAAUAGUAGAAAAAAUGCAAUGUAAAUAUCCAUGGCACACUCAUUGAAAAUUUUUAUCAAAUUAUUUUUAAUUAUUGUUUAUUAUUUAUAUAAUUUUUUUUAUUUUUUGUCAAAAUAAACUUAAAAUAUCCUUUGCCACUUUUAAUCUUUAUUUCUUAAUGGCUUUUAUAUAACAUUAUAUGUUUACUGCUUAUUGGAAUUGGAAAAAAAAAAAAAAAAAUUGAGUGGUACUUUGAAAAAAAAAUAGUACAAUGUGAAAAAUAAAAAAUUGUAAAGUACAAUGUAGUACAUUGUGGUUAUGCCAUUUUAAAUAAAAAUUUAAAUUAAAAUAUUGAAAGUGAAAUUUUAAUUAAAUUAUUUUUAACAAAGAAUUUCAACAUGAAUUUGAAUUCAAGUUGAAAAUUCAAAUUCAGAAUUUAUGUUUAUAUCUUGAAUUUAAUUUCAAUAAUGAGUUUUAAUUUGAAUUAUGAAUUCAAAUUUUCAAUUUGAAUUAUAAUUUAAACUCAAAUUUUUAAUUUAUAUUGAGGUUUUAAUUCAAAUUUAAAAUUUAUAUUUAAAAUUAAAAUUUAAGAUCAAAUAGUAAAUUAAAAUUUGAUUCAAAAUAUAAAUUCAAAUUAUCAAUUUAAAUUUGAAUUGAUAUUUUAGAUUAAGUAAAUUAUUAGAUUAUGGAAAGCAAAAGAAACUUUUAGAGUCCUUAAAAUCUCUCUAAUUUUAUAUUAAGUUAUGCCACAUUAAUUGUAUAAAUAUUGCUAAAAACUUACUACUUAUUAAGGCCAAAUAUUAGGAAGAAAAACCAAGGGUUAAUUAUACUUUUGGCCUUAUAGUUGAAUAAUAUUUUGACCUCUAAUUUUAAUUUAUUAUAAUUGUUAGCUCAAUUUUUUUAAAUUAUUGAAUUAAGCUUCAUGGUAUAUUUAGUUGAUUAGGUGAUGAUGUAUUAGAAAUGUGGCAGUGAUGUGUCAUCCUUGUUAUUUCCAUGUAGUUAAAAAACUGUUAUGUGGAUAACAUAUCAUUAUAUAUUUAAUUUAAUUUAAUUAUUGAAUAUUAUUAUAAUAAUAUAAAAAUUUAUAUAAAAAAUUAUAAUAAGUUAAAGUUGGGAAUAAACAUAUAAUAAUGUGCAUAAUUUAGCCAAAGAAAAUAACUUGACUAUCACAUUUUUUUUUUUGUCCUAUUGAAUNAAAGAAAAAAAAUUUUGUUGAAUGGAGAUGAAAAGUUACAUGAGUGACAGAAGGGAAAAGAAUUACGAAAUGAAAAUUACAGAAGUGACAGUAGGGAAAUAAUAUGUUCUAUUUUAAAGCAUCAAUAUUUAAGAGCGAAGAAAAUUACAGAAGUGAUGUGAGUUUUAAAUUUUUUCCUCUUUCCAAAAAUGCCUCUAUCCUUUUUUACUAAUAUUUUUAUGUCUAUAAAUUUUCAGCCAAUUAUUUUAAAUAAUUAACUAAGUAAUAAUUUAUUCCCAAAUAAAAAUAAAUAUUUUUCUUAUAUCCGCACCGCCAAUAAUUUUAAAUAAUUCGUAAUCAAAUAUUCAUAUUUGAGUUUGACACGUGGCAAGCAUAUAGAAAGCCACGUGUCAGCUUCUCACAUAGGGUUCAUUAAGGGUUCUACUUUUAUAUAUAGUAAUAGAUAUGAAGUAAAAAUUAUAUCUAUACUACUUAUAAAUUCCUUCGCAAAGAAUAAUUUCAAAGCAACCGCCAAUCAUUUCGUAAAAUAAAAUCGUAUCUUACAUUUUGAUCAGAAAAAACUAACUCUAUAAAAAAAAAAAUAAAGCAAAUGUAUGUUAAAUUUGAAAAUGAAAUCGUAUCUUACAUUUUGAUCAGAAAGAACUAACUCUAAACUAUUCACCAUCUCUGGGCGAUAAAAUUCAGGCAUAGUAUACAGACAAAUCACUCUAAUUUUGAUCUUCUAUUUGUCUCCAAGAGGAGUGAUGUCACGUAUUGAAUCAUAUCCAAGUGCCAUAUUCUAAAAAAAAUAAGACAUCCAAUAAAAAAAAUUAAUAUAUCAUAUUUAAAUAAUAAAAUAAAAAAAUAUAUGUUCUCUUUUAAGGCAUCAACAUUUAAGAAUUAAGAAAAUUACAGGAGUGACAGUAGACAAUAAUUUUAAAUAAUUAAUUAUUUGCCAAUACAAAAUUUGAGUUUGACCAUUUUUUUCGCAACUAACUAUUUCAAAUAAUUUGCAACAGAUUAUUGCUUAUUUCGCAACCAAUAAUUUUAAAUAAUUAAUUAUCUGCCAAUACGAAAUUUGAGUUUGACUAUUAUCUGUCAAUACGAAAGCAUAUAGAAAGCCACGUGUCAGCUUUUGUGACAAUAUUACCCUCGCAUUUAUAUCCUAUUUUCUAUCUUUUCUAAAAUAAAAUAUCUAUAUUUGAACUUGACACGUAGAUUAUUUUCCCUAAAGCAGUAAUAUCCGCACCCACCAAUUCUUUCGCGUGAAUUUCUUAAAUAUCUCAACAUAAUUAUAGGUGACUUUGAAAUAAAAUUAUUGAGUUUGCAACAGAUUAUUUCCACCGCGAAAAAAUAAUUCCCAACAGAUUAUUGCGUAUUUCGCAACCAAUAAUUUUAAAUAAUUAAUUAAACUAAUAAUUUUAAAUAAUUCGUAAUCAAAUAUUCAUAUUUGAGUUUGACACGUGGCAAGCAUAUAGAAAGCCACGUGUCAGCUUCUCACAUAGGGUUCAUUAAGGGUUCUACUUUUAUAUAUAGUAAUAGAUAACAAAAAAUUUCUAAUUAAUUUUAUAUUUUUUAACAAAUAAAAAAAUACACUAUCAAUCUUAAUUAUAGUACAUAUUAAAGUACACAAGCUAGAGAAAAAGAAUAUGGACCAAAGUAAAUAUUCAACUAAAAUGCAAAAUUCAAUCCUACUCUAUUAUCUAUGAAUUGGUAUGCAAAACAAUUUAUAUUUACAUAUUGAUGUGCGAAAUAAAAUGAUAACUAAUAUUGAUAUGAAAAAUUACAAAUGACAUUAAUAUUUAAGUAUAUAAUGAGAUCAACUAAACUUUCAUAUUUGACACAAAUUAGAGUAAGCACACAUAUAUUAUGUUCCUACUGUCGCUUUUAAGAUUCAAAAAUAUAUAGAUGUUGGUUUUCAAGAAAAUAUAAAGAAAAAAAAUUUUGUUGAAUGGAGAUGAAAAGUUACAUGAGUGACAGAAGGGAAAAGAAUUACGAAAUGAAAAUUACAGAAGUGACAGUAGGGAAAUAAUAUGUUCUAUUUUAAAGCAUCAAUAUUUAAGAGCGAAGAAAAUUACAGAAGUGAUGUGAGUUUUAAAUUUUUUCCUCUUUCCAAAAAUGCCUCUAUCCUUUUUUACUAAUAUUUUUAUGUCUAUAAAUUUUCAGCCAAUUAUUUUAAAUAAUUAACUAAGUAAUAAUUUAUUCCCAAAUAAAAAUAAAUAUUUUUCUUAUAUCCGCACCGCCAAUAAUUUUAAAUAAUUCGUAAUCAAAUAUUCAUAUUUGAGUUUGACACGUGGCAAGUAUAUAGAAAGCCACGUGUCAGCUUCUCACAUAUGGUUCAUUAAGGGUUCUACUUUUAUAUAUAGUAAUAGAUACCAUAAAAGAUUAAAAUCUUAACUAAAAAGUUAUAACUAAGUUUAUAUUUUACAAUUUGAUUUAAAAAUACUUAAUAAUGAUUAAUCACCAUUUAAUUUUUUCUAUUUAUUUUUUUCUUAACUCUUCAUUAUUUAAUUCAUUUUAAUUUUGAUAGAAUAAGCUUAGGCCCUCUCUAAAUUUUAGCCCGAUUAUACUUAAUUAUCUGAACUAACAAAUUAUGUUAGCUUUUAAUUUUAUUAAUCACCUAAUUAUGAUUUUUAUAGCCCAAUUACAUUUAAUUAUCCAAACUUAAAAAACUAUACUAACUUAAUUUAAUUAAUAACCUAAUUACGAUUUCUAUAAAAUUUUAUAACUAAUUAUACUCCAAAAAAGUCAAGGCCCUUACUGUUUGCGCUUUUUUUUUUUUUAAAAAAAAUACUAAGUUAAGAUAAAUUUAACAAAUGUUUAAUUCUAGAUAACUAUGAAUUAAGAAAAAACUAAUGAAAAUUUGAGCCAGGUAGCUGAUUAAAAUAAUUUGACAAUUUAUAUAAUUGAUAAAACUUAUUUAGAGUUAGAAACUUAGAUUGAAUAACUAAAUAUAAGAAAACAAAGUUUUUAGGAUGAUUUGCUGAAUUUUCCGGAUUUAAUUCAUUUGCAAGAUCUUUUAUUGCUUGGAGACCACACACUUAGGUAUUAUUACUAGGAAUCCGGCUACUAUCCUAUUAAUAGGAUUGGGACCAUUGUCUUAUCAAGUCAUUUUCAAUGAUCGACACUUCAAAUUGAUAAUCGGUACUGUUGAAAUUAAUCUACACUAUAAGAAAUAUAUAUAUAUAUAUAUAUAUAGAGUGAGGCUACUAUGCUAUCGUAAGCACGGAGCCUUCCGUGCUUCCAGCUCGUUUUUGAUGUUGCGACUUUCAAAUCGUCGAUCGGCUCCGUUAAACUUGAUCUAGAGUAUUUGGAGUGGGCCUAGAAAAAUAAAUUUAUUAAUUCUUUUCGAUAUCAUUGCCUAAGUGAUCGAGACUGGGCUCAAAAUCAAUAAAUUUCAAUGGCCGUAGGAGGCGUUUGCAAGGUUAAACGGUGAGAAAUACCAAAAUCACGUAAAAUUUUUUGACUAGAAAAUUUUUAUAACUAUAUAAAACAAGAAUAAAUCUUUGAUUAAUUUUAAUGCAAUAUUCAUAAAUUUGUAAGAUUUUUAUUUUCAGCCGGUUGAUUUUGAGCCCCUUUGUUCGACUUACAAAUGAUGAAUCGUAAAAUCAUAAAAUUUAUUUUCUAGGUACUUCAAUAUACCUCUAGGAUCAGUUUAACGAGCCGAUCGUCGAUUCGAAAGUCGCAACAUCGAAAACGACUGGAAGGCACGGAAGGCUCCAUGCUUCCGAUAGCAAUAGUGCCUCAUCUAUAUUAAUUAAGAAGAUAGGCAGCACGCUACGUUUAUUUCAUUUAGAAAUAAGCUUAGCUGGAAAUGUGAAUCAACUAGAAUUCGAACUUGGAUCUCCGGUAUCAACCACCAAGCUCUUUGCCACUUGCUCUAAGGACGGUCGGUCACUAUAAGAAAUAUUUAAAAACUGAAUUUUGUAAUUUUUGAAAAUCAUUAUCAAGUCUAUCGAAGAGUCGAAAAAAUGAACAGUCAUAAAUGAAUAACCUUCUUAAAAUAGAGGUUAGACUUUCUCAAAUUAUGAUCAGAAUUAUCAAAUAUUAUUUAAAUAGUAUAAAAAAUUUUCUAUCAAAAAUUCAAACAGUUUGGAUUGCUCUACACCGUUAAACAAGCAAACGGCUCAUAUAGGCCGUAAAAAAUUAUCGAUUUUAUGAUCCUUUGAUCACCGCGUAAACGAUUUUUAAAAUUUCUGAAAUUUAGUUUCUAGAUAUUUCAAAUACUCUAGAUCAACUUUAAUGGGUUCGAUCAUCGAUUCGGCAUCUCUACCAUCAAGAACGAUUUGAUAGGACGAUGGUCUCUAUCCUAUUAAUAGGAUAGUAGUUGGAUUCUUAUUAUUAGUAUGUCCGUUACUUAUAAAUCCAUCACACUCUCCCACUUUCGUAUUAUUGCUAAUAUGUCUGUUACUUAUAUAUCCAUCACACUCUCCCACAUUAUUUAAUAUGGGAUUUUAUUGGGAUGUCACAUGCUACAUACCUUUGUUAGUUAAUUCGCGAAUUAUUCACGAAUUAUUGAAAAUCCGAAGUAAACGGUCCGUUUAUGAAUUUUUUUUCUAAAAAAAGAGAAUUAUUCGCGAAUUUUUUGGCCAGUCGAAUAAUUUUCGAAUAAUUCGCGAAUAAUUCGCGAAUUAUUCCCAAAUUAUUGAAAUAUGAAUAAAAAACUUAUAAUUUUUAUUUUUAAAUAUAGAUUACCUUAUAUUUUAUAUUUUAUAUUUUAUACCGAAUAUAUUUUUUAAGCCGAAUUUUUCAACGAAUUUAAAAAUUAAAAAAUAAAUUUUACGCUUAUUAUACCCGUACCGAAUUUUUGCCGAAUCCGAAUUAACUAAUUAUGCUACAUACUCCCCUCAUUUAGGUCCUGACAUUCUCGUUAGUCUGGCUUAAUUAUAAGCAUAGUCCCGGAUUAUCAAAUAUAACGAUCCAAAUCACCGGUCCAGAAUGCUUAAGUCUAAUUAUUAUUAUUAAUGUAUCCGUUACUUAUAAAUUUAAUACACUCUCCGACAUUAUCCAAUGUAGAACUAUUGAAAUGUUACGAUAAUCAUCUCAAGAUACAUCUAUUCAUCUAUCAGUCUAAGUGAGUCAAUGCACUGUCUUAUUUAUGGAUGGCUUAGUUUGUCUCUUGCGCGAAGGCUUCUGUAUAAUUUUUGUUUUAUUUGUGAGAGUUUUUAUGACGAGAAAUCAAAACAUUUUAAGCAUUGUACCUUGCGAUACGGAAAUAAUAAUUAGUGAUUGAAUUAUUUUAAGCUAUGAUUUUGCAAAAAUUUGGAGACUAGGGUUUUUAUGAUUAUCAUCAUUUAAUGUGUGCAUGUGAUGGUGGUCGGUGAUACAUGAGGGUUGAAUGAUCAUAUGUCCUUGUAAACGCGAUUUAAUUGGUUGUGACUAAUAAAUAUAUGCAUGUACCAAUUAUAGGAUUUUAUUUUACUCUUUUUUUCUUUUUUUGGUUCAAUGUAUCUCCCAUGAAUCCUAAAAAUAGUUAAAUUUUAAAAUGGAUGAUUAUGUUGAGAUGGUAAGAAUUAGUAUUGACAAAUUGUAUUCAUUGAAUCUGAUCAUGCAGAUUUACCAAAUUCAUUACAUCUCUGUAAAUAAAUUAGUUCGUUGUUUUUGGUUCAUAUUACAUUAUUACUAUCCUAAUAGGCUAAUACAUAAGAAAAAUGAUUUGGAUCUUGGACAAAGAAUACCAUAUUAGCUAUCGAUGGUGCACAUAUACAAUGCGAUGCUUUAGGGCUGUUUGGUUGCAUGUAGUUGCAACUAUACGGCAGUUGUAACUGUAUGCAAAUAUAAAUUUCAUAUUUGAUUUGAUGUAUUUAACUUCAACUCCUGUAGCAGGAACUGUAGGAGGAGGCUCUAUUACAAUAGUUGAAACUAUGCCUAAAUUUGUCGCAGUUCCAACUGUAGCAAUUGGAGAGAAUAACUUUAAAUAAAAGACAAUUCAUAAUAAUAUUCUUACAUAUUUUUACAUUGAAGAUAAUCUCUCCAUUAUAUAUAUAAAACGAUAAAUUUUUAAAAAUUAUUUAUCAACUACAUGCAACUAAACAAAUUAUUUAUAGUUGUAUCGCUUUCCACUGCAUCCAACCAAAUAAGAUGCAUGUAGUUGCAACUGCUACAUUUUCAACUACAUGUAUUUCCAACUAAACUGCAUUUGUAAUUACAUUUUGUGUAUGUAAAUUUAGUUAAAAUUCUUCAUAUCAUGUAUAUCAACAUAAUAACAAUUCAUAAUAAUAUUCUUAUUCUAGCAUUAGCUAUAUUUUGUCUGCAAUAAAUUGCUGUGUUUUAUUAUUUUUGGGUUUAUAAAAUGUAAUGCUAUACAAUCUUUGUAACAAUAGCUAGGUACUCAUAGAAAAUGAAAAGAGAAAUUUACCGACCGUCCUUAGAGCAAGUGGCAAGGGGUUUGGUGGUUGGUACCCGAGUAUGGCUGGCAAAUGAGCGAGCCGGCUCGCGUUCGACUCGCGUUCGACUCGAUAUUUGGCUCGCUCGAGCUCGACUCGAAAUUAAAUGAGUGAACAAAAAGAAAGGCUCGAAAUUUAUUUCAAGCCGAGUUUGAGUAUUACUCGGCUCGUUCGAAUUAGGCUCGAAAAGCUCAAAAAGCUCGAAUAUAUAUACAUAUAUAAUAGAGCUACUAUGCUAUCGAAAGUAUUGAGGAUCUAGUGCUUUCGAUUUUUUGAUUCUUAGAUCAACCCCUUUAAUCAUUUCUUAUCUUUGGACUAAUAUUAUUAUUACCUUGUAGGGUAUUAUUUAGUCCUCAGGGGGACCGCAAUCAUACCAACCAUACAAUUCUUAAUCAAAGGAUCAAAAAUUUGAAAACAUCAAAUCCUCUAUAUUUUCGAUAGUAUAGUAGUUCUACACUAUAUAUAUAUAUAUAUAUAUAUAUAUAUAUAGAGUCCGGCUAUGGUGCUUGUAAAAGCACCAAGCACUUGGUACUUGUAAGUUUUUUACCAUUAGAUCUACAUCUUUGAUCAUUUUCAACCGUUAAAUUAUACUAUUCNUUUCAAGCGGCUCGUUUAGGGCUCGAGCUCGCUCGACUCGAAAUUAGGCUCGCUCAAGCUCGGCUCGAAUUAAUUUCAAUCCAAGCUUGAGCUUAAAUUUAUGCUCGAAAUUAAUUUCAAGCCGAAUUUGAGCCGAGAUAAGCUCGCUCGAGCUCGGCUCGUUUCCACCCCUAUACUCGAGGUCGCAAGUUCGAAUUCUAGUUGAUUCACAUUUCAAGUUAAGUUUAUUUCUAAAUGAAAUAAACGAAGCGAGUAGCGUGCUAUCCAAUCUCUCUCAAAAAAAAAAAAGAAGAGAAAUUUGUAGAAGGUAAAGUAUUUUAUUUUAGACCAAAGGAUUAUUUGUGUGGGUAGUUUUUAUUAUUUUUGAGUUCUUUUAAUGUUUUCCCAUUAACUUAUUGAGGAGUGUGAUCUUAAUUUCCAUGAAAAAUUAUACUAUUAAAUUUUUUUUUUUUAUUUUUUUGAGAGAUAGGUAGCAUGCUACCCGCUUCGUUUAUUUCAUUUAGAAAUAAGCUUAGCUGUAAAUGUGAAUCAACUAGGAUUCGAACUUGGGUCUCGAGUACCAACCACCAAGCUCUUUGUUAUUUAUUCUAGGAACAGUAGGUUCUAUACUAUUAAAUUAUAGAAGCUUCUGCUUAUAUACCUUAUUACUGUUCACAAUUUUCAAAUUUACCACCUUAUUUUUCAAAUACCCAUCUAAACCUCAAAUCCCAUUAAUAUAUUCGAAGAAAUUUUUGAAAAAAAAAAAAUCAGUAAGAAUAUCUUAAUCAACCAAAGUGGUAGAUGGAAUUACCUAGUGUCAAACAAAUUGCUCAAAGAAUUAGGUUCCAAUUUAGCCUAGAGACCAAAAAAUAAAAUAAAAUUGGGCACAUUGUGAAGAGCUAGCGAUUGUAAACUGCUUUUAAUUUGCAGUUUGUACCAUUUCGAUAUAUCUUUAGCGACGUAAUAAAACUAUUGUAAAUUAAUAAGUGAUAGAAAUACUAGAUUAUUAUGGAUUAAAAUGCAUUCUUAUUUUCAUAUUUGAGCCAAAUCACUAGCGUAACGGUUUGACCUAUAAUUCUUACAUUUUCAAUCAUACUUUCUUUCCUAUAUGAUGCAGGACUAUUGAGAUGUUUUCUUCGGCUUAGCAUCGAUACCAACAAUCCAACUCCCUUCAGCUCUGACGCCAAAUAUGACAACCCAACUAGCAGGAAUAGUUUAUUGGGUCCAAACCACUGGCCUAAAAUGUUUCAGCCCAGUUAUUACUAUUAGGGUCCAUGAUAUUUAUAUUCCCAAUUAUAUUUUUUUUUUCAUUCGACAUGGAAUUAUUCAGUAUUAUAACUAGUAGUCCAUUAAUAAAAAUAAACUAGUUUUACUGGCCGUACCUAGCACAGUUGGUUAAGAACUUGAUGCUUGGUACCUAAUGUCCCAAAUUUGAUGCUUAAUUACUUUAUAUUUCAAGCUAAAUUCAUUUCUAAAUAAUAAAUUUAACAAGCAGCUUGCAACCUUUCUCUCUCUAAAGUAAAAAAGAAUUUUAUACUUUCCCAAGAACUAUUUACCUAUCUAGUCUUUUUACAAAAAAAUAUUCCCUAUCUAGCCUUCUUUUGAAAAAUAUUCCCCAUCUAGCCUCAUUUUCAAAGAUUAGAGAAAAAAAAAAAAUUAAUACCUUUAAUAUAUAUUAAGGGGUUAAGUGGGAGAGAUUAUCUUUUUCUCUCUCCUCUCCUAUUUCCCGAGAUCCCUUCUCACUCUCUAAUUUUUGCGUAUAAUUUAUCUCAUAUCGAUUUAUUUCAAAAUAGAAAAUUUUUAUAUAGCGCAUCAAUCGUUUUAUAUUUUGAUGGAAAUAUUAUGCAUGGUUCGGAAGGAGUUGAUUAUAAUAGUUAUGAUCCAAAGCUAUUUGGAUUUCUCGUACUUUAGGUUUUAAUACAUUAAAACAUAAAAUUUAUAGGCCGAAUGGGAUCAAGAUUAUUUUGAUAUAAAAAUUAAUGGAAGAGGAGAGAGAAAAAGAUAAUCUUCCCCACUUAACCCCUUAAUAUAUAUUAAAGGAAUUAAUUUCUUUUUUUUUCUCUAAUCUUUGAAGAUGAGGCUAGAUAGGGAAUAUUUUUCAAAAAGAGGCUAGAUAGGGAAUAUUUUUUUGUAAAGAAGCUAGAUAGGUAAAUAGUUCCUUUCCCAACCUUAGUGACUUGAUAGUUAAUAAUAAAUUUAUUAUUCUGAAUAUAAAGUAUACAAUAUUUUCAAUAUAUUACAAAUCUUGAGCCAAAAGGCCCUACAUGUAAGAAAUAGUAUCACAUAAAUAGUGAAAACGUAAUCAAAAUGGUAAAUUCAUAGUAUUAAAAUUUUGUACCGGAUUUAUUUUAAUAGCUUCUCUGCUUAAAAAAGUAGUGCGACGAUCCAAGAGUUCGACAAAAGUUGAAUUUUCGCUGCAGCAAAAGCAACAAUUACAUUACGUACAGCUAGAAUGGAAUGUUCAUGGAAAAUUCUUUUUUUUUCCCGCUUUGGAUGAGGGGGAGCUAACACAGCAAACUACGGUUAUCAAUGCCUAUUUCUAAGGUAUGUCGAUGGAUACGAAUAUUCAAAAUUUUAUCCGAAUUUAAAUUUAAAUAGAGUGAAUUUAUUCGAUACUAAAAGAAAUGUAGUUUCGAAUAUGAAUAUUAAAAAUAAUAUCUUGACGAAUAUGGAUUCAAGUGUGGUUUUUGUGUGUACCCGACCCAAAUCCGAAUAUGAUCCGAAGUGUAUAUAUAUAUAUAUAUAUAUAUAUAUAUAUAUAUAUAUUGGAUGUUAUAUCUGAAUUUAAGUUUUAAAAAUUUAGAUUUAAUGUAAUAUGUUUGAAAUAUUAUAAAGAAAAAUAAUUAUUUUGAGUUUGGGCUUGGAUUCAGGUUUCGAAUUUCUGGUCGGGUUCAAAUUUGGAUAUGAAUUUUUAAAAUCCGUCAAAUUUGGUUUCAAAUUUGAGUUCGGAUUCGAAUUUCGGACUUGAUAGUCGGAUUCGAAUUUUAAAAAAUUCGCCUCGAAUCCAACGCAAUGACAUCCCUAACUAUCAUUGAUUUGGCGAGACUAUUCAGCUCGUCAAAUCGGUAUAUAUGAGUCAAUUCAUGGUAGAAAGGACAUCACAUUGCUUUUAGUGGUGAGGAUUUGUUCAGAAAUUAAUACAAUGCUAUCUCUAUAUCUAAAAGUGGAUAUAAAUCUUCCAGUAUAUUUACCGAAAAGUUACUUUUAUCACAUAAUUUUUAUAACAAUCUUAUUCUUUAAUACUAAUAAAUCAACAAGUUUGUUUCAAUGCUAUCUCUAUAUUCAAAAAUUGAUGCAAAUUUCACACAUCACUCAUCCAAAAAUUAAUUUUAUCACAUUAGUCUUAUCACAAUGUUAUUUUUUUUAAUAAUAAAGACACAAAAGAUUGCGGGCCAAAGUGAAAGAAGGUGCAAAGAUUAGGGAUAAAAUUAACGAAAAAUAAAAUAUUAAGAAUGAAAAUAAAAAGAAAUGAGGUAAAGAUUAGGGACCAAUGUGCAAUUAAAUGCUGAGCAAUCUCUGCACUUCUAAUCUAGGUGUAUAUUUUACAUUUCAUUCAUCUAAAAGUUUUUUUUUUCCUCUAGUUUUGUCCUUUUUUUCUUUUAUAAAAGACUUAAUUAUACUAUAGCACACUGAACUUUACAAAAUUUUUUUUUUCACUUUCUACUACUAUUUUUUUUUUUCUAAAUGCACUACUCAACUAUUCUUUUUUUUUUUAAUUAAGAUAUUUAUAUUAUAAGCAAUAAACCUACAAUUUUAUAUAAAAUAGUGAUUACAAGUAACAGACCAUAUAAUCAACUUAUUUUGAUAUAAAAAAAUAUAAAAAUCUAUAAAAUAAAAAAAAAGUAAAAAUAAUUUGAUGGAAAUUUUUAAUGAGUCUAUUGUAAAAAAAUUAUUUUAUAUUUUUCUACUAUUUAACUAUUAGCUCUUAAUAAAGUUAUUAUUUUUGUCCAGAAUAAUAUAUUUGUAACAAUAAUAUGGAGAUUGCCGAAAAAAAAAAGAAAAGGUUUAAUGAUAUCUACGAGAAAAGCAAAUAGUACAAGCUGUCGAAUCAUUCACGCUAACCAUUAAUCCCAAAAGUUCGAACAGUUAGAAAUACACAACUAAUUCACUUAAAAUGUAUAGAUACAGUAUUCACGGGUCUCGAUCGUGACUCGGCCCAACCAGCCUCACGCCAUUUCGAACAUAAUUCGGCCCACCCAGCUUCACGCCAUUUCGAAUAUGACUCAAUCCAACAUGGCUUCCUACCACAGGGCAGAAUGCCGAUCCAUUUAAGCCAACAAUCCCUCCUACAGCACCUGAACACAUUCGCAGGAUGUCUUAUCGGAUCGUUCGCGCAGUGGCGUUCACCAUUAAUUCCAAAAGCUCGAGCUGUUAGAAAUAUGCAACUAAUUCACUUAAAGAAUACAGAUACAGCGCCCACGGGUAUCGGUUGUAACUCGGCCCAACCAGCCUCACGCCACUUCAAACAUGACUUGGCCCACCAAGUCUCACGCUAUUUCGAAUAUGACUCGGCCUAACAUGGCCUCUCGUCACAGGGCAGGAUACUGGCCCAUAUAAGCCAACACAAACUAGAAAAAUAAAAAUAAAUCUAAAAUACAGUAUAAAGAUUGAUAACAUAUAAUAAUAAAAAGUCUUUGAAAAAAUAUAAUAUAUAAUAUUG
This 13747-nucleotide long non-coding RNA is filed under the name Ananas comosus (pineapple). Its description in RNAcentral is "long non-coding RNA (ACOM_LNC013029)". The record is from RNAcentral. Lineage: Eukaryota; Viridiplantae; Streptophyta; Magnoliopsida; Poales; Bromeliaceae.